GUUUCAGGGCGAGGUGCAAUUCCUCACCGGCGGUAUAGUCCGCGACCCGACUUCCUUUACGGAACAAGGCUGAUUCGGUGAAAUUCCGAAACCGACGGUAUAGUCCGGAUGAAAGAAA
Molecule: non-coding RNA, 118 nt
Filed under: human gut metagenome
Description: FMN riboswitch (RFN element)
Rfam family: FMN riboswitch aptamer (RFN element)
About the family: The RFN element is a highly conserved domain that is found frequently in the 5'-untranslated regions of prokaryotic mRNAs that encode for flavin mononucleotide (FMN) biosynthesis and transport proteins. This element is a metabolite-dependent riboswitch that directly binds FMN in the absence of proteins.
Source: RNAcentral